RNAcentral lists this ribosomal RNA (607 nucleotides) under uncultured bacterium. RNAcentral's name for it is "bacterial SSU rRNA". It matches the Rfam family "Bacterial small subunit ribosomal RNA", at positions 224 to 824 of the family's 1533-position model. The record is from RNAcentral.
GAUGGACCUAUGGCGCAUUAGCUAGUUGGCGGGGCAACGGCCCACCAAGGCAACGAUGCGUAGCCGGCCUGAGAGGGCGGACGGCCACAUUGGGACUGAGACACGGCCCAGACUCCUACGGGAGGCAGCAGUAGGGAAUUUUCGGCAAUGGGGGAAACCCUGACCGAGCAACGCCGCGUGAGCGAAGAAGGCCUUCGGGUCGUAAAGCUCUGUUGUAAAGGAAGAACGUCGCAUGCAGGAAAUGGUGUGCGAGUGACGGUACUUUACCAGAAAGCCACGGCUAACUACGUGCCAGCAGCCGCGGUAAUACGUAGGUGGCGAGCGUUAUCCGGAAUCAUUGGGCGUAAAGAGGGAGCAGGCGGCCGCAAGGGUCUGUGGUGAAAGACCGAAGCUAAACUUCGGUAAGCCAUGGAAACCGGGCGGCUAGAGUGCGGAAGAGGAUCGUGGAAUUCCAUGUGUAGCGGUGAAAUGCGUAGAUAUAUGGAGGAACACCAGUGGCGAAGGCGACGGUCUGGGCCGCAACUGACGCUCAUUCCCGAAAGCGUGGGGAGCAAAUAGGAUUAGAUACCCUAGUAGUCCACGCCGUAAACGAUGAAUACUAGGUGUC